CGUGUAGGCGGUCCGGUAAGUCGGCUGUGAAAGUCCAGGGUUCAACCCUGGGAUGCCGGUCGAUACUGCCGGACUAGAGUUCGGAAGAGGCGAGUGGAAUUCCCGGUGUAGCGGUGAAAUGCGCAGAUAUCGGGAGGAACACCUAUGGCGAAGGCAGCUCGCUGGGACGUUACUGACGCUGAGACGCGAAAGCGUGGGGAGCAAACA
Molecule: ribosomal RNA, 207 nt
Filed under: uncultured bacterium
Lineage: Bacteria
Description: partial 16S ribosomal RNA
Rfam family: Bacterial small subunit ribosomal RNA
Source: RNAcentral